GAUGAAGAACGUAGCGAAAUGCGAUAAGUAAUGUGAAUUCCAGAAUUCAGUGAAUCAUCGAAUCUUUGAACGCACAUUGCACUCAUUAGUACUCUAGUGAGUAUGCCUGUUCGAGCGUCAUUUCAACCCUUAAGCCUAGCUUAGUGUUGGGACUCUACCCUAACCGGUAGUUCCCCAAAAUCAGUUGGCGGAGUUCAGUCGGCUCUGAGUGUAGUAAUUUUCUCUCGCUUUAGAAGUCUUCUGGAUUACGGCCAGAAAGAGACGAGUCUCGCAUCUCGGUGCGUUUCUCAACUUUUUUUUACAAUGGUUGACCUCGGAUCAGGUAGGAAUACCCGCUGAACUUAAGCAUAUCAAUAAGCGGAGGA
This 365-nucleotide unclassified non-coding RNA is filed under the name soil metagenome. RNAcentral's name for it is "partial contains 5.8S ribosomal RNA, internal transcribed spacer 2, and large subunit ribosomal RNA". The stretch from base 1 to 120 matches the Rfam family "5.8S ribosomal RNA", at positions 35 to 154 of the family's 154-position model. The record is from RNAcentral.